AUGAUAUUUGUGGUGCCACUACACAUCCAAGUUGCUCAGGGAAUACACACACAGGUUGCAGAUGCAUUUCUAUGGUUGGCUUUAACCAUGCUCUUUAGUAGUAGGUUGUCCGGUGAAUUGACACAGCUGUUCGUUUUGAAGAUAAACUUGUUUGAUAGCCACAGUGGUGAAUCUUGCAGUGGAGCUACUGAACUGCAAUCAGAUACUUACAGAGACUCAGAAGGAUCACUGUUUCGCGCUUCCCCUGCUCACAUUAAGCCGGCCUCCAGCUCUGCCUGCUCCCCAACAGCCACCGCGCACACAGAAGAGGAGAAGUAG
This 318-nucleotide ribosomal RNA is filed under the name Triticum aestivum (bread wheat). RNAcentral describes it as "partial small subunit ribosomal RNA". The record is from RNAcentral. Lineage: Eukaryota; Viridiplantae; Streptophyta; Magnoliopsida; Poales; Poaceae.